AUGAGUCGGUACACCGGAGUUUCAGAUACAAACAACCUGAACUCGCAUCGCAGGCGGAAAAUGCGAAAAGUUUAGCUCGGAGUCGAUCCAGAAGAAAAAUGUUGCUGGAAGCGAGACGAAGUGUGUUGGCUGAGGAUGAGAUGGACAUUUGGAAGUGCGCUACCAUAGAUCUCAUAUCUGAUGAGGAAUACGGCAUUGUUGGCGGGGUGUCUGGAUGGAUUGUGCGGCCACCGCCCUCUCGCAGCCUGGAACUCUCCGAGCUCUGUGCCACGCUGCAAUCCAGAUUAGAGGCGAUACCAAAGUACCGGGCAACUCACCAUAUACGCGUGAAAAAGUGACUUUUUUACAACGUUUUUGAGGUUUUUUUUCAACACUUUGAAAAAGAUUUUUAGGGAUCUUUCCCGAACAUCUUAGGCACUUUUUGACGUGUUUGGAGUACAAUAUAAGAGACAUUAUGCUGCUUUGUACAUAGUUGUGUGUUUAUAAAUAAAGCUCUUUCUUUGAAUAAA
Paramisgurnus dabryanus is the source of this 509-nucleotide long non-coding RNA. RefSeq lists it as uncharacterized. The record is from RefSeq and is a predicted model, not a curated record. NCBI's taxonomy places the organism in Eukaryota, Metazoa, Chordata, Actinopteri, Cypriniformes, Cobitidae.